GCAACGUGCAACGGCUCCGAGUUAAGACCUGUCUUUGGACACACCGAGGGUUGCUUCGGCUGACACGUCGGUCACACCAUGGGUUGUUGCCCAAGAGCAGGGUAGGCUUACUCGGAGGGGCGCCUGCCACGGUUGGGCGAUGACUGGGGAGUCGUACAGGUAGCGUUCGAGGUGCGGCUGAUCACUCUUUUGAGCAUGACGUCAUCGUCUGCGGGGCGUCCUCACAAAUUACUGCAUUCAGAGAUUCAUACCGGCACAGGUCGGUAUGCGAAGUCCCUUUUGGGGCUUAGCUCAGCUGGGAGAAGCACCUGCUUUGCAAGCAGGGGGUCGUCGGUUCGAUCCCGACAGGCUCCACCAUAUUGAGUGAAAAGACUUCGGGUCUGUAGCUCAGGUGGUUAGAGCGCACCCAUGAUAAGGGUGAGGUCGGUAGUUCGAGUCUACCCAGACCCACCACUCUGAAUGUAGUGCACACUUAAGAAUUUAUAUGGAUCAGCGUUGAGGCUGAUACAUGUUCUUUUAUAACUUGUGACGUAGCGAGCGUGUGAGAUAUCUAUCUAAACGUGUCGUUGAGGCUAAGGCGGGGACUUCGAGUCCCUAAAUAAUUGAGUCGUAUGUUCGCGUUGGUGGCUUUGUACCCCACACAACACGGCAUGUAGCUCCGAGGCAACUUGGGGUUAUAUGGUCAAGCGAAUAAGCGCACACGGUGGAUGCCUAGGCGGUCAGAGGCGAUGAAGGACGUGGUAGCCUGCGAAAAGUGUCGGGGAGCUGGCAACAAGCUUUGAUCCGGCAAUGUCGAGUCGAAUGGGAAACCCAUGUUCGGCAGUAUCCUCAGGAAUUUAAGGGGCGGAAGGAACCGUUAAAGGAUAUUAAGUGUAGACCGAGGAGUCUCCGAGAUUCCCUAAGUAGUGACGAGCGAACGGGGAGCAGCCCUUAAGCUGGAAUGGCUUUAGAAAAACAAUCUGGAAAGAUUGGCCAUAGAAGGUGAUAGCCCUGUAUUUAAAAGGGCCACUCCAGUGAAGACGAGUAGGGCGGGGCACGUGAAACCCUGUCUGAAUAUGGGGGGACCAUCCUCCAAGGCUAAAUAUCCGACCGACCGAUAGUAACACUGCUU
RNAcentral lists this small RNA (1111 nucleotides) under Xanthomonas sp. H1. RNAcentral's name for it is "bacterial LSU rRNA". The stretch from base 681 to 1111 matches the Rfam family "Bacterial large subunit ribosomal RNA", at positions 1 to 501 of the family's 2925-position model. Lineage: Bacteria; Pseudomonadati; Pseudomonadota; Gammaproteobacteria; Lysobacterales; Lysobacteraceae. The record is from RNAcentral.